Molecule: ribosomal RNA, 470 nt
Filed under: Bacillus sp. (in: firmicutes)
Lineage: Bacteria; Bacillati; Bacillota; Bacilli; Caryophanales; Bacillaceae
Description: bacterial SSU rRNA
Rfam family: Bacterial small subunit ribosomal RNA
Source: RNAcentral
UCCUUCGCGAGCAGACUCACAUGUGGUGCAUGGUUGUUGUCAGCUCGUGUCGUGAGAUGUUGGGUUAAGUCCCGCAACGAGCGCAACCCUUGAUCUUAGUUGCCAUCAUUAAGUUGGGCACUCUAAGGUGACUCCCGGUGACAAACCGGAGGAAGGUGGGGAUGACGUCAAAUCAUCAUGCCCCUUAUGACCUGGGCUACACACGUGCUACAAUGGACGGUACAAAGAGCUGCAAGACCGCGAGGUGGAGCUAAUCUCAUAAAACCGUUCUCAGUUCGGAUUGUAGGCUGCAACUCGCCUACAUGAAGCUGGAAUCGCUAGUAAUCGCGGAUCAGCAUGCCGCGGUGAAUACGUUCCCGGGCCUUGUACACACCGCCCGUCACACCACGAGAGUUUGUAACACCCGAAGUCGGUGGGGUAACCUUUUUGGAGCCAGCCGCCUAAGGUGGGACAGAUGAUUGGGGUGAAGU